AAGCUCAUGUGCCGUAGAAAAAAUCUCAUCAUGAAAGAUAAUUGAACUUUUACCAGGCUCGUUUAACUUUGAAUUUCUAACAAAAUGCUCUGUGUUUUCUAUUUUUAAUCUUGUCAUUUCUCUGAUAAAACAAAUGGGGGGUAUGGCGGUAACAGUACGGUCUUGUACAACAUGAUCAAUUCGUGUUGUGCAAAGCAGUUCAAUGUGUGCCUUCGUAACCUCAAAAUGUCCUAAUUACAGUACAUUAUUUGUCUGAAAAACACUUACAGGCCAUGACUGAACUAUUCAAAAUGAAAAGCAGUACGGCGGUAACCGGGCGUGUCUUUUUGUGCUGCGUGACAAUGGUAGUCGUACACUGCUCCGUAAACUAGUUAAUUGUGCACCUCGAGGAGACUGUGUUACUAUUGUAAACAAUUUUGCAACCCGCUAAAUGUAUUACAGGGGAAUCGGCGAUUUUAUUUUGUUUAAGAGGCUGUAUAAUGCUGACCCCUUGCGGCCACUUCGAGAACUGCUAAUCACCGGGCCGGAUAAACUUGACUCUUGACCCAACAUAAUUCCGACAUGGACGUCAAAUGCUUGUGACGACCUCACUCUCCACAUGACCGAACUCGGCGUCGCUUUUCAUACCGGAAAUCUCUGCCGCUCGUAUACUGUACAUUUAGUCACCGCUUGGUCAACCGAACCCUGAAGCUGCUUAGCCUACUUAGCUAACGAAAGUAGCUCAUGCUGCAUGUUUGUAGCGUCCUUCCCCAGCACCACACCCGUCGGGAGUCAACCCGAACCCACUGUUUGAUGGAAGGGUGAGGGGGAAACGAUGCUGUCAUUCCUCCACAUCCUGCUAACGGGUUUGUUAGGGGUUCUGCGGGACAGGGUCACUGCCUUCGACAGGAUCAGACUUGUGAAUGGCGAGAACAAGUGUUCCGGCCGUGUCGAGAUUCUCCGACAUAACCAGUGGGGGACAGUUUGCGACCACGGCUGGGACCUCCGCGAUGCUGACGUGGUGUGCCUGCAGCUGGCGUGUGGCUUGGCAGAGUCGGCCCUCCACGGGGCAGCUUUUGGUAUGGGCAGGGGGCAGAUCUGGCUGAGGCACGUUCAGUGCUCGGGACACGAGUCCAGUUUGACCCGCUGUGCCGUCAUCCUGCAUAGUCACACCCGUUGCACCCAUGAAAAUGAUGCAGGGGUAAAAUGCUCAGGUACCCUUUUCAUGCCCAUCCUCUCACUAUUGUCACCCCACACCGUGUUCUCUUCCGGAGAGGCAGUCCGGUUCAGCUGCAGCGCCUUGUCAGGUCACCACGUCAGCGACUUCCACCUGUACAAGCAUGGAGCGUCCACGCCCGUGGUGACGCAGAGGGCCGAGAUGAGUCAGUCACGGGUGGAGAUGACUGUGUCCGACAUAGACACAUUCCACCAGGGCAGCUAUAGCUGUCGCUACAGGGUCAGAGGCAGCUCGCCUUCUCAGCUGCUCAGCUCUCCGCCCAGCAACUCUGUCAACAUCACUGUGGUGGAACUCCUGACCCCCCAGCACUGGUACAACACAUCCUCUGAAGCCCCGGCUGGUUCCGUCAUCAAGGGCCACAGUUUUAACAUCACAUGCUCCACACCGCAGCCGUACCCUGGAGGCUCCUUUCAGCUGCGACUCAUCCGUCCCAAUGGCACAGUGCGCCACUCUCUGCCUGCCCUCAGACCCUCCGUCACGUUCAACUUCGCCGGUGCUCAGAGCUCAGAUGAGGGCUACUAUUACUGCCUGUAUCGGGUCCAGCUGGGGGGGCGCACCUUUGUCUCCAGAGAGAGCCAGGCUCUGCCCAUAUCUAUAAGAGACCCAGAUCCAGUUCUGAGUCCAGUGAUGAUCAGUUGGCUAGUGUCUGGCCUGACAUUUGUUGUUGCUGUCAUUAUAAUUAUCAUUGUGGCCAAGGUGCUGUGCAACAAGGAGAGGAAACCUUGUGAACUGGAGCGAGAGACCAGAUCCUAAUCAGAAUCAUCUUUAUUUGUCAAGUAUGUCCAAAAAACACACAAGGAAUUUGUCUCCGGUAGUUGGAGCCGCUCUAGUACGCCAACAGACAGUCAAUUGACAGAGAAUACUUUUGGGACAUAAAGACAUUGACAAAAAACAGUCACUGAGCAAUAAAGGGUUGCUCAUUAUCUGGUGUGGAAAACACUUAUGUUGCAUUGUCAAUUAACAAGCGAUGAUGACAUGCAGCCAAGCACAAGGCUGAAUGAAGGUAUGUUGUGCAUGUUAUGUUUCUGUCAUGUGAAUAUUUGUUAUUCUGUAAUAACUGAAAUAAUCUUUAUACUGUCAUGUGAGUAGUGCCACUACACUAAUCCAUAAAACGCCAUCCAGCAUUUAUGAAUUACCGUAAUUUGUCGUGUAUAAUGCGCACCCCCAAAGUUGACCUCAAAAUUCUGGAAAACAUUUCUCUCUAUGUAUAACCUUUUUACAAUGCAUGAGUUUAGUAUUAUCUGUAUUUUGUUAGUUUUUUCAAAGAAUUAUUCUGAAUUUAAGCACUUUAUUUGAACACAUACCUUUUUUACUUGCUCUUAUUUUGAAAUUCACAGCCCUAUUUUUAUUUAGUAAAUGAGAAAACACACAGUUGUACUCAUAUGUUUGAUUACUCAGGCAGAAUUUGUAAGAUGUGUACAAUACUUUAAAGAAAACAUGAAGGACCAGGUGAAACACAUUUAAUUUUAAUGGUAUUCAAAUUAAACUGUCAAGCAUUUCAGAAAAACAUAACCAUAAAGAAAUUAAUUAUGGUUGUAUAUAUAUAUACACACACACAUACAUAUAUAUUAAAAGUUUCACAAAUUGUGCCAAAGUAUGUAAAUUUAUGAGCACAACUGUACAUAUAUGCAGUCAUAUGUACCCCUGUCAUACUGGAAUGAAAGUGUACAGCUUUUUCAUAACCUCUAUGGGGCGAUGCCAUAUUGGAAUGAAAGUGUACAGCUUUUUCAUAACCUCUAUAUGGUGGCAUACAUUUCUAAAAUGUGAAAGUCUUUCAUUUUCUCCUAUACCCAUGUAUAAUGCACACUAUUGACUUUUGAAAAAAAAAUUUGAGGGGGGAAAUGCGCAUUAUACACCAGAAAUUACGGUAAUCUAAUUUUAUUACAUCAUUUUAAUCAUUGCAGUCUAAUGUCAUUUUGUAAACGACUGGGUAUUGUCUUUGGUUUGAUUAUAAAAACCAAACAGGUUUGAUAAAAAUGUAUCUUGUACUGUAUGUCUUACUUGGUAUUUUGCUGUUGAUAGCAUAGAGACUAUGCGUAGGAAAUUAAAACGGAGCUUGGGUUUCUGCUUUUACAACCCUGGGAAGUGGACCGUGCAAGGGCUCUGGCUGUGUCCAUGAGGGAUUCAUGUAGAACCACAGAACCAGUUGGCUUGGUCAGCAAUCCAGAACUACAACCACUUCACCACUGAUUGGAUGGUACAAGGUUUUCACUGUAUUUUAAAUUUCUGUAUCUCCGUAACAUCUGCUAACUAUUACAACACUUGGAGAUGCAGUAUGUUAUGGAAAGUUGACUUAUUACUGUCUGCCCACCCAUGAAGUGUGAAAUUACACAACCAAGUAAUUAUUUUGGUAACUGCCUAUUUCUGAAAAUGUGUCUGUGAGCCAUUCUGAAUUUUGCCUCGCUGUGAGGUAACAGUGCAGCUGAUGUGCAUCACCACCAACCCGAGUUUCUUAGCUCUUGACUUGACAUCGAGGCCGGGCUGAGGCCAGACGGCACAGAAGCACUAUUAUGUCCGUGCCAAAAGGUACGCAGGGUCACAGUGUUAGUACAUUCCACUUAGCUCAUAUCUGUUUGGUGACGUUGUCGACGUGGGGGUCAGGGAGUAUUUGUGUUUUUGUACGGUAUGUGCCAGCACUAGUCAAAACAUGGUACUCUGAUUAAUAUUGCGUUCGUGGAAUAGGAAUUCAACGAAAUAAUUUAUGAAUGUAUGGAGGAUGGUUACAAACAGCAGCCUGGUAAAUAUUGAGUGGCACAGUGGAGCAAAUGAUAAAUUCACAACCUGAAAUUAGAACCUUGGGAUAGGAUUUCUCAGGUUUCCUUUAUUGUAUUGAUUGUACUAAUGCGACGUGAUAGAGGUUUAUUCAGUUACAUAGUGGUUUCCAAGUGUGCAGUACCUAUACAAACCAGCCACAUUACGACUAUUUGCAAUAAAAGAAAAAAAAAUCCAAUACUAGAGCUGUAUUAAAUAUGCUGCAAAGUAAUAUUUAGUUUUGAUUUACACUAUCAGAGGUAUUCAAUUAACAAUGUUUAACUGAACAGCGUCAUAAGAGCUGUACAUUUUGGUUAUCCCAAUAUACUGUAUUAGGAACAACUCUCAUUAUGAGGCAGCAGAGUUGUACAAAUGAAUUCUAGUAAAUUGCCUCUAACAGUUCCAGUCCAGACUGAACAUUACCUAGGUAAAGGCAGAAUUUUAGAUACUGUUCUUGUACUGGGCAUCGUCACACAGUAUCGUGCAGGAGGUCGUAUUGUGAUAGAUGGAUGGUGUACAGUUUAUUAACAACAUAUUAACCCUCGAGGUCACAGCAAACCUGGUGAAUCGGUCAGGAAAAGGCCAAAGUGGGUUUCAAAGUGUGACAACUUUACUUAAUAUAGAACUGCUGGACACAGGGCAGUUUUUAACUCAUGCUAAAUACAACCCCAAUUCUAAUGAAGUUGGGACGUUGUGUUAAACAUAAAUAAAAACAGAAUACAAUGAUUUGCAAAUCAUGUUCAACCUAUAUUUAAUUGAAUACACUACAAAGACAAGAUAUUUAAUCUUCAAACUGAUAAACUUUCCAAUGAAGUUGGGACGUUGUGUUAAACAUAAAUACAAACAGAAUACAAUAAUUUGCAAAUCACGUUCGACCUAUAUUUAAUUGAAUACACUACAAAGACAAGAUAUUUAAUCUUCAAACUGAUAAACUUUGUUUUUCGCAAAUAAUCAUUAACUUGGGACUUUUAUGGCUGCAACAUGUUCCAAAAAAGCUGGGACAUGGUCAUGUUUACCACUGUGUUACAUCACCUUUUCUUUUAACAACAUUCAAUAAACGUUUGGGAAUUGAGGACACUAAUGUGGUGAUAUCCUUUACACAUUGAUGUCAGUUUUUGAUGCAGUGCCGCCUGAGGGAUCGAAGGGCACGGGCAUCCAAUGUUGAUUUUGGGCCUUGCCGCUUACAUGCAGUGAUUUCUCCAGAUUCUCUGAACUUUUUGAUAUUACGGACCGUAGAUGAUGAAAUCCCUAAAUUCCUUGCAAUUGUACGUUGAGGUUACAUUCAAUUAAAUAUAGGUUGAACAUGAUUUACAAAUCAUUGUAUUCUGUUUUUAUUUAUGUUUAACACAACGUCCCAACUUCAUUGGAAUUGGAGUUUUAAAUGAAUGUCCCCUAUUUAUUGCCAUAAGCCUUGCGUGUUACACCCUGCGCCCGAGAUGACUAAAAUAGAGCCAAUGCGUUCAAAGUUAGUGUUCUGGCUCAAUUCAGCAUUAAUGCACAUGUAUUGAGAGCGGCUCCUCGCUCAAGUGGCACGAUGUGACUUUUCAGCAUUUUUUUUUUUUUUUUUAGCAAUCUCCACUAACUUGUGUUCCUGGUUCUACAGAGCAAUGAUUUAUGAUAAAUGUUUUUUGUUUGUUUUGUUGUUUUAAUUUAACCCAUCUAAGCAUCUUGUCAUUUGUGUACAUUGCUGCAUAUAAACAUGUAAAUGUCACUGUGAAUAAAAUGCUAUUGUUGAGUUGAA
Molecule: RNA transcript, 5708 nt
Organism: Phyllopteryx taeniolatus (common seadragon)
Lineage: Eukaryota; Metazoa; Chordata; Actinopteri; Syngnathiformes; Syngnathidae
Exons: 8
Source: RefSeq, a predicted model, not a curated record